RNAcentral lists this small RNA (21 nucleotides) under Karenia brevis. Its description in RNAcentral is "trans-spliced leader sequence SL". Lineage: Eukaryota; Dinophyceae; Gymnodiniales; Kareniaceae. The record is from RNAcentral.
CCGUAGCCAUGUUGGCUCAAG